This 459-nucleotide ribosomal RNA is filed under the name uncultured bacterium. RNAcentral's name for it is "partial 16S ribosomal RNA". It matches the Rfam family "Bacterial small subunit ribosomal RNA", at positions 338 to 795 of the family's 1533-position model. The record is from RNAcentral.
CCUACGGGUGGCAGCAGUGAGGAAUAUUGGUCAAUGGACGAGAGUCUGAACCAGCCAAGUAGCGUGAAGGAUGACUGCCCUAUGGGUUGUAAACUUCUUUUAUAAAGGAAUAAAACGAGGCACGUGUGCGGUUUGGAGAGUACCCGGAGAAAAAGCAUCGGCUAACUCCGUGCCAGCAGCCGCGGUAAUACGGAGGAUGCGAGCGUUAUCCGGAUUUAUUGGGUUUAAAGGGUGCGUAGGCGGACGCUUAAGUCAGCGGUAAAAUUGAGGGGCUCAACCUCGUCGAGCCGUUGAAACUGGGUGCCUUGAGUGGGCGAGAAGUACGCGGAAUGCGUGGUGUAGCGGUGAAAUGCAUAGAUAUCACGCAGAACUCCGAUUGCGAAGGCAGCGUACCGGCGCCCAACCGACGCUGAAGCACGAAGGCGUGGGUAUCGAACAGGAUUAGAUACCCGGGUAGUC